Molecule: ribosomal RNA, 218 nt
Filed under: uncultured bacterium
Lineage: Bacteria
Description: partial 16S ribosomal RNA
Rfam family: Bacterial small subunit ribosomal RNA
Source: RNAcentral
ACGCUCGACACCUACGGGAGCCAGCAGUGAGGAAUAUUGGUCAAUGGGCGCUAGCCUGAACCAGCCAAGUAGCGUGAAGGAUGAAGGCUCUAUGGGUCGUAAACUUCUUUUAUAUAAGAAUAAAGUGCAGUAUGUAUACUGUUUUGUAUGUAUUAUAUGAAUAAGGAUCGGCUAACUCCGUGCCUGCAGCCGCGGUAAUCUGAGCGGGCUGGCAAGGC